ACGGGAGGCAGCAGUGGGGAAUAUUGGGCAAUGGGCGCAAGCCUGACCCAGCAACGCCGCGUGAAGGAAGAAGGCCUUCGGGUUGUAAACUUCUUUUAUCAAGGACGAUAAUGACGGUACUUGAUGAAUAAGCCACGGCUAACUACGUGCCAGCAGCCGCGGUAAUACGUAGGUGGCAAGCGUUAUCCGGAUUUACUGGGUGUAAAGGGCGUGUAGGCGGGAUCGCAAGUCAGAUGUGAAAAUUAUGGGCUCAACCCAUAACCUGCAUUUGAAACUGUGAUUCUUGAGUGAUGGAGAGGUAAGUGGAAUUCCCAGUGUAGCGGUGAAAUGCGUAGAUAUUGGGAGGAACACCAGUGGCGAAGGCGACUUACUGGACAUUAACUGACGCUGAGGCGCGAAAGCGUGGGGAGCAAACAGGAUUAGAUACCCUGGUA
This 434-nucleotide ribosomal RNA is filed under the name uncultured Oscillospira sp. RNAcentral describes it as "partial 16S ribosomal RNA". It matches the Rfam family "Bacterial small subunit ribosomal RNA", at positions 341 to 792 of the family's 1533-position model. The record is from RNAcentral. Lineage: Bacteria; Bacillati; Bacillota; Clostridia; Eubacteriales; Oscillospiraceae.